ACAUCUUUAUUUACAGUCAGGGCAUUUGAAAUAACCUUGAUUUUCAUCUUCUUCUUCCCUUAUUAAAUUGACAGCCCUGCGCUAAGUCUUCCUCUUCUAACCCUUUCUAAGCCUUCAUUUCUUCCCAGAGAAAGAAGUCAUUUACCUUCCAAUGUCACAUUUCAGGACUAGUAGCUAAAGUCCCUCUUUGUAGGAAAAAAAAAAUAUGCAGGCUUAGCUUCUGUCAUGAGAUCAUCUGUCUCAGCCCCAUUUAUUUCUCCUGGGUGAUGAGAAGACCUCUGCUUCUCUGUAAACAGGCGCUAGGAAAGAAGGAGUUAAAGUGAAGGCAGGCUCGCUGGUUUGCUGAGAUCUGUCAGAGGCUGACUGGCUGGCUACAUAUCUGUCUCUGGAACAAUAGGUACCUGUAUUCUGCACGGGCUUCUGGGCAGGCAGCACUAACACUCAGGAGAAGGUCUGCCUCUGUCUGCACCUUCCUGGUGAGAAUUCCCCGUAACAGUUCUAGUUUUCAGAGGGGACAGAGAGAAAGAGAGUGAGGGGGGGAAAGGCUGUCUACUCUGUUGAUGAAGGACAAAGCUUUGAUCAUUUUUGUUCAGGCUUCACUUGGCUAGAGGUUUUAGGUUCUUAGACUCCAGUCAGUAGUUGUGUUGGCUUUCUUUCUUUCUCUUAGUCUCUCUGUAGUGUGCUUCUCUCUCUCUCUCUCUCUCUCUCUCUUUCUCUCUCUCUCUCUCUCUCUCUCUCUCUCUCUCUCUCUCCCCUUUCACAUUCUCCUUCUGUUGCCCUCCCUCUCUCAUUUCUCCUCAUAGGUUCAAUGCAGGCAGAUGAGUGUCACAGAUGUAGCUGAGGCAUUGAAUAAUCAACAUAUCGGAGCCAAUUCCCAGGACGGCAAGAGGGGGAACCGGCAGAGAUGACUGACCCUGGAGGACAAGAGCAUUCUUCUGACAAGUUUUAGCAUGGACUAUCCUCAGGAAAAUGAGAUCCAGGAAGAGUGACGCCCUCCUCGAACUGAAAGAUACUCAGGCUGAUGGAGUCAGGGAUGAAGUGGUUUAUCAACAGCACAGGAUGUCUGCAGGGAACAGAACUUAUUCAGACAUGGCCCAGAUUGUCUGCCCGUGGGGACUGAGGGACCUCUGAGGGUUACAUCAGGAAGGAGAGGCUGUUUCUACAGGUGCCACAGAAAAAUCGAUGCUGAGCCUCGGAUUAUUGGAUCCCAUAGAACCGUGGAGACUUGGCAGUGAAAUUCUUCCAAAGGUGAGCAGGGGCAUUGAUUUUCCUUCUCAUGCCUGAAGAAAUACGGCAAAUGGAACAG
Molecule: long non-coding RNA, 1306 nt
Filed under: Mus spicilegus (steppe mouse)
Lineage: Eukaryota; Metazoa; Chordata; Mammalia; Rodentia; Muridae
Source: RNAcentral